Molecule: long non-coding RNA, 282 nt
Organism: Aquila chrysaetos chrysaetos
Lineage: Eukaryota; Metazoa; Chordata; Aves; Accipitriformes; Accipitridae
Exons: 3
Source: RefSeq, a predicted model, not a curated record
GUGUGGACUGCAGAGGUUACCUGUUCCACUGUUGCUAAGAGUAGUACCUGCUGCCACUAACAAAAAAUAAUUUGGGAGCCUUUGAUAAACUCACCAAGUAACGCUGACAGCAAGGAGGACUUUCCAGCACCUACCUGGCCAACUACAGCAAGCAAGGAGCCUUGUGGCACGGCACCCUAAGAGUGGAAGCUGAACAAUGGAAGCUACUUCUCUUCUAAGACAACAAUGCUAACACAAAGGCUUACCACAGUCAGAAGUGUUUCUGCCUGAGUUCUCAGGAUU